UGGCCUAGCCUAAGGUGCCAGAGAUAUUUUUGGCUAAAUCUAUCUCUAAAUCGCUUAGAUCCUACAGCAUUCACCAAUUGCUCGUUAACAUGAAUAUUCACAUCCAUAAACAAAUGAUAAAGUCCAUCAAUCAAAAAAGCAUGUACAAUAAUUUUAUUUUCAAAAUAAAUUAUACACAUAUCUUUAUUGAAAUAAAAAUUUAAAUUAUCCUGUGCCAGCACAGAUAUAAAAAUUAAAUUUCUACUGGCUAUAGGUACA
This 258-nucleotide long non-coding RNA is filed under the name Elaeis guineensis (African oil palm). Its description in RNAcentral is "long non-coding RNA (EGUI_LNC064853)". The record is from RNAcentral. Lineage: Eukaryota; Viridiplantae; Streptophyta; Magnoliopsida; Arecales; Arecaceae.